UAAAUGUGGGGACAACAUUACAUUCACUAAGAUAUGCACCACAACAAUCUCAAUCUGAACUAUGCAAACGAAGAAAGUCUUCGGAGAUUCACUGGAGAUCU
Long non-coding RNA from Zea mays, 101 nucleotides. RefSeq lists it as uncharacterized. Lineage: Eukaryota; Viridiplantae; Streptophyta; Magnoliopsida; Poales; Poaceae. The record is from RefSeq and is a predicted model, not a curated record. The transcript is spliced from 2 exons.